GUCGGGUGUGGUGGCUCACACCUGUAAUCCCAGCACUUUGGGAGGCUGAGACAGGCGGAUCACUUGAGGUCAGGAGCUCGAGACCAGCCUGGCCAACAUAGUGAAACCCUGUCUCUA
This is a non-coding RNA of Gorilla gorilla gorilla (western lowland gorilla), 117 nucleotides long. It matches the Rfam family "Metazoan signal recognition particle RNA". Rfam says of the family: The signal recognition particle (SRP) is a universally conserved ribonucleoprotein. The record is from Rfam. Lineage: Eukaryota; Metazoa; Chordata; Mammalia; Primates; Hominidae.